UAGUCAACCAUCCGCCUCUGCUCUAUAAAAGCAACAUAGCUCUAUAAAAGCAACAUACGGCUGAAUUUGUUAUGCACAUUGCGUUAGAACAUCAUUCUACGUACAGUGCAAACACACAGUGAUUUAACAGUCAUGCCUAGAUCUAUGUCUAUUUUGGUAUGGUUGUCCAUGGUUCUUUAUCUGACCAUAGCUUUGGCAGACACUUUGUCCGAAGAUUCUAAACGAUUAUGGACUGCUGGAGAUUUGAUUGAACCAAGAUUGAAGAAACCGGCCUGUACUAAAAGCCCAUGGCGAGCAUGUUCACUAUACGGCAAAACUGAUGGUUACCUACCUUGUUGUUCAAGCUACGUGUGCUUUUCUACAUCUUCGAAUCCUGUAGGACUUUGCAAGUUUCAGCGGCGGAUCUUGCACCCUCAGUUGGCCAAAUAAAUUUUAAAAUUGUCAAUGCAAAUCAAUGUUAUGUGCUACUCACUUACCUAUUCUGAAACUGUUGUCUUGAAUUAUUAAUAGUAUGACAUAUUUAACGAUUCCAGAGAGGAUAGACGUGUAGUGAUGCAGUGAGGUAUAAGAAGGAAAUGAACGAAUAAUGGUCAGAGUAGAAAGCAGUGUCUUAUACACAAGAGUAAUAGUGACUGAAUUGCUACUGUCAAGAAUUUCUCCUGUCUCAAAUUUUCAACAAUUCCAGACUCAAAAAUAAACGAUAAACUUGCAAAACAGU
Molecule: long non-coding RNA, 718 nt
Organism: Anneissia japonica
Lineage: Eukaryota; Metazoa; Echinodermata; Crinoidea; Comatulida; Comatulidae
Exons: 3
Source: RefSeq, a predicted model, not a curated record